CCUACGGGUGGCAGCAGUGAGGAAUAUUGGUCAAUGGCCGAGAGGCUGAUCCAGCCAAGUCGCGUGAGGGAAGACGGCCCUACGGGUUGUAAACCCCUUUUGUCGGGGAGAAAAGCGAGUCACGUGUGACUCAUUGAGAGUACCCGAAGAAAAAGCAUCGGCUAACACCGCGACAGCAGCCGCGGUAAUACGGGGGAUGCGAGCGUUAUCCGGUUCUAUUGGGUUAAAGGGGUGCGCAGGCGGAGGUGCAAGUCAGCGGUAAAAUGGCGGGGCUCAACCCCGUACUGCCGUUGACACUGCAUCCCUUGAGUGCACGAGAGGUAUGCGGAAUGCGUGGUGUAGCGGUGAAAUGCAUAGAUAUCACGCAGAACUCCGAUUGCGAAGGCAGCAUACCGGCGCGCAACUGACGCUCAUGCACGAAAGCGUGGGUAUCGAACAGGAUUAGAUACCCCAGUAGUC
Molecule: ribosomal RNA, 459 nt
Filed under: uncultured bacterium
Lineage: Bacteria
Description: partial 16S ribosomal RNA
Rfam family: Bacterial small subunit ribosomal RNA
Source: RNAcentral